Molecule: ribosomal RNA, 587 nt
Filed under: uncultured bacterium
Lineage: Bacteria
Description: bacterial SSU rRNA
Rfam family: Bacterial small subunit ribosomal RNA
Source: RNAcentral
CCUACGGGAGGCAGCAGUGGGGAAUUUUGGACAAUGGGGGCAACCCUGAUCCAGCAAUGCCGCGUGUGUGAAGAAGGCCUUCGGGUUGUAAAGCACUUUUAUCCGGAACGAAACGCGCAGGGUGAAUACCCCUGCGAACUGACGGUACCGGAGGAAUAAGCACCGGCUAACUUCGUGCCAGCAGCCGCGGUAAUACGAAGGGUGCAAGCGUUAAUCGGAAUUACUGGGCGUAAAGCGUGCGUAGGUGGUUGGUUAAGUUGGAUGUGAAAGCCCCGGGCUCAACCUGGGAACGGCAUCCAAUACUGGCUGACUAGAGUUCGAUAGAGGGUUGUGGAAUUCCCGGUGUAGCGGUGAAAUGCGUAGAGAUCGGGAGGAACAUCAGUGGCGAAGGCGGCAACCUGGAUCAGAACUGACACUGAGGCACGAAAGCGUGGGGAGCAAACAGGAUUAGAUACCCUGGUAGUCCACGCCCUAAACGAUGCCGACUGGACGUUGGGAGGAACUCGCCUCUCAGUGUCGAAGCUAACGCGUUAAGUCGGCCGCCUGGGGAGUACGGUCGCAAGACUGAAACUCAAAUGAAUUGACGG